CUUCUUUUGUGUCAUGAAAGACUUUUUUUUCUCAUAAGCUCAUAACACGUAGAUGUAUGUUCUUUACUACAAAAUCACUAGGAGUAUCUAUGGUGUGGAUGGGGCUGUCUUUAUUCUAAUGAAGUCCUACUAAAUUUAUCUGUCUUUUAAAAUUUGUCGCCCUUGCAUGGUCGAGUAAAAGAUAAACCAUGAUAAAACAAAACACUGCAAAACCAUCUAAAUUUCUUACCUAAGCCAUAUUAAUGUGUGUGUGUCUUUCCGUGCAUUAUAGAAGUAGAAGAGCAUGUGUGAAAUUUGGGUUCUCAAGCUAAUAAAAUAUGAAUGACACUUUGGUAUUGUUUUGAGUAGCUGCCCAAGCAUUUUAAUAGAAAAUCUGUGAAAAAAAUAAUAAAAAACUGAUAAAGCAGACCACCAUGUAAUGCAAAUAGAUGACAAGCUAUAUUUGUGUGUUUCACUGUGGAAUUAUGUUAAAUUAGUGUGAAAUGAGAAUCCAGUGAGUCAGGCCUUUGCUACAAAAAAAAAAAAACAGAGACAAAUGUAUGAAGGGCCCUUUAUAACUUUAGAAGCAAAUGGUGCCCAGGACAAAAUGGAGGUUAAGUAUCCUCGACAGGUAUGGCCUCAUGAGCAAUUUAUUCAGGCUUGGUGGUUCAGGAGAAAACCCGAUUAACCAGCAGGUUGUCCUCCAGCCUCAUAAUUAUGGAGACACCCCAUUUCCAGCAGGCAGUAGAGAGGGAAGUCCAUUUUGAAUAUGCACUGCAUCACUCAGUAACUUAUUACAUUCAACUGUGUGUAAUAUAUAUGUUUAACUGGAAUUGGAAAUAGUAUUUGGUGUAUGAAUAAAGAUAUUCAGACUGAGAGACAGCUUCUUCCACCAGGCCAUCAGACUGCUGAACACGUCAUAGACACCUCAGCUUCACUACUGGAACUUUAACAUUAUGCACUCCAUACUGUACAGUAAUGCCACUGUUUUGCACAUGUCUCAACUCUGUAUAUUUUUAUAUAUUUUAUUUAUUGUUUACUCUAUUUAAUUUGUAAAAUAUGU
This is a long non-coding RNA of Astatotilapia calliptera (eastern happy), 1042 nucleotides long. The record is from Ensembl. Lineage: Eukaryota; Metazoa; Chordata; Actinopteri; Cichliformes; Cichlidae.